AUGUGUCCGUGCGCGUCCGAGUGUCUGUCUGUCCGUGCAUACGUCUCCUCUCAGCUGUCCCACUCAGCCAAGGGCGUGUUGUCCUCUCCUCUCUCCUCAUCUUCAUCUGAGUCGGAGGAGACCUUCUUCAUCCUCUGCAUGGCUGCCUUGAUGCUCUUCUGCAGAUCCGUGUCCCUGCUGUCCUGGGGCAGGGGCACUGCUGGGACCACCUGGAGGGGACAUCAGAGCAGGGUCAUCAAGUUAGCCAGUGGGACCGGUUCAGAGGGCUACCCAUCAUUUCAAGUGUUUGUCACGUGCACUACUACAGUGUUUGUCACGUGCACUACUACAGUAUUUGUCACGUGCACUACUACAGUGUUUGUCACGUGCACUACUACAGUGUUUGUCACGUGCACUACUACAGUGGUUGUCACGUGCACUACUACAGUGGUUGUCACGUGCACUACUACAGUGGUUGUCACGUGCACUACUACAGUGGUUGUCACGUGCACUACUACAGUGGUUGUCACGUGCACUACUACAGUGGUUGUCACGUGCACUACUACAGUGUUUGUCACGUGCACUACAACAGUGUGUCACGCGCACUACAACAGUGUGUCACGUGCACUACUACAGUGUUUGUCACGUGCACUACUACAGUGUUUGUCACGUGCACUACAACAGUGUUUGUCACGUGCACUACUACAGUGUGUCACGUGCACUACUACAGUGUGUCACGUGCACUACUACAGUGUGUCACGUGCACUACUACAGUGUUUGUCACGUGCACUACAACAGUGUCACGUGCACUACAACAGUGUGUCACGUGCACUACUACAGUGUUUGUCACGUGCACUACAACAGUGUUUGUCACGUGCACUACAACAGUGUUUGUCACGUGCACUACAACAGUGUUUGUCACGUGCACUACAACAGUGUUUGUCACGUGCACUACUACAGUGUUUGUCACGUGCACUACAACAGUGUUUGUCACGUGCACUACUACAGUGUUUGUCACGUGCACUACAACAGUGUUUGUCACGUGCACUACUACAGUGUGUCACGUGCACUACUACAGUGUGUCACGUGCACUACUACAGUGUUUGUCACGUGCACUACAACAGUGUUUGUCACGUGCACUACUACAGUGUUUGUCACGUGCACUACAACAGUGAAAUUACUUUCUUUCUCAACAAUGCAGUAAUUAAUAUCAGUAGAAAUCCAUAA
Molecule: long non-coding RNA, 1206 nt
Filed under: Oncorhynchus kisutch (coho salmon)
Lineage: Eukaryota; Metazoa; Chordata; Actinopteri; Salmoniformes; Salmonidae
Description: lncRNA (ENSOKIG00005036947.1)
Source: RNAcentral